Apus apus (common swift) is the source of this 669-nucleotide long non-coding RNA. RefSeq lists it as uncharacterized. The record is from RefSeq and is a predicted model, not a curated record. NCBI's taxonomy places the organism in Eukaryota, Metazoa, Chordata, Aves, Apodiformes, Apodidae. The transcript has 3 exons.
CUUUGUGUUCCUCUAUAUACUAACAAAAGGCAAACGAAGAUUUUAUUAUACCCUCAGAAAGCACCUGCUUCAUAGCAAACAGUAUGGCUUGUUAUGAUGAUCUCAUUGAAUGGGACAACUAAGACUUUUUGCAGUGAUGUACAUAAUAUGAGUGUUGGAAGACUUGUCAGGUAUGAACAUCAGAUUUGGACCAUGUUUUUAUCAAUACCUGUGAGUACUCCAGUGGUUGUGUUCCUUCUGAGCUGAAGAGUUUUCCUUAAUGGUCACAUCAGCCUACAUACUGGGGAUACAAGUGGGGAGAGAGCUAAUUCUUCAUUUCUACCUACAGAGAAUUUGGUUGGGUAGUGAGUAAACUGCAGUUGUCACAAGCUGGUUGGCAUUAAGGAUCUGGGCUUACAGGCCUUUUGGAAGAAGGUGUGUUUCACUGUUAUGUCUACCUUAGCAGAAGAUCUGCAGGGAUAUUACAACAAAAAGACUGGAGUUUCAAACAUCUGAUGUGGAAGGAGGACAUAUUUUUUUUCCAUAGUAUCUUCUGACUCAUUUGUCAAGAGUGAAGAGAAGUCUGCUGGGUGGGGAUAUCUGCCUCAGAAGUCCUCCCACAUAUAGAACAACUCAAAGGAAGGAUGAUGACCUGCAUUGUAACAUUUACUGUAAUCUUCUGCAAUUAAA